RNAcentral lists this ribosomal RNA (217 nucleotides) under uncultured bacterium. RNAcentral's name for it is "partial 16S ribosomal RNA". It matches the Rfam family "Bacterial small subunit ribosomal RNA", at positions 524 to 740 of the family's 1533-position model. The record is from RNAcentral.
UACGUAGGGUCCGAGCGUUGUCCGGAAUUACUGGGCGUAAAGAGCUCGUAGGUGGUUUGUCGCGUUGUUCGUGAAAACUCACAGCUCAACUGUGAGCUUGCGGGCGAUACGGGCAGACUAGAGUACUGCAGGGGAGACUGGAAUUCCUGGUGUAGCGGUGAAAUGCGCAGAUAUCAGGAAGAACACCAAUGGCGAAGGCAGCUCUCUGGGACGGUAC